Molecule: ribosomal RNA, 253 nt
Filed under: uncultured bacterium
Lineage: Bacteria
Description: partial 16S ribosomal RNA
Rfam family: Bacterial small subunit ribosomal RNA
Source: RNAcentral
GACAGAGGGUGCAAACGUUGUUCGGAAUUACUGGGCGUAAAGCGCAUGUAGGCGGCCACGCAGGUCGGAUGUGAAAUCCCUCGGCUCAACCAAGGAAGUGCAUUCGAGACCGCAUGGCUGGAGUCCCGGAGAGGAAGGCGGAAUUCUCGGUGUAGAGGUGAAAUUCGUAGAUAUCGAGAGGAACACCGGCGGCGAAAGCGGCCUUCUGGACGAGGACUGACGCUGAGAUGCGAAAGCGUGGGGAGCAAACAGG